CCUAGAACAAGUGUCAUGCACACACGGCAGCAGUGGAAGAACCAAAGUAUGAGCAGCAGAGGGGUUUUCCUCGAGGGCGUGAAAUCAGUGCCACUAUACGUUAAAAACACUAACAGUUGCAUUCUGAUUUAGCUUGCUGUUGGUUGUCUUGUUCAGGCUCUCAAAUUUCCUUUGAGGUGAAUUCUCACGUUGGCUGUCUUCGUGUACACCGGUUUUCAUCCAGCUUGGACAGUAAUUGUUACCGAGGCCCUCCGGUGUCACUGAGAUUUGUUCUCUACAAACCUGAUGAACAGCUUGAGCAUUUCAUUUGCAUACAAAGCAUUUCAUUGCAAUAUACCACUAUUUGUACCUUCGUGCAGGUAAACAGCAAAUUUUGGCAUGAUCCAGUCGGACCAGUAUAGCAUCAAGAGCUAGACUAGCAAAACAUGUAAGCAAAAUCUACAAAGUUAAAUAUAAACAAACUGGGAUCUAGAAAUUGUGGCUCUUUCAAGUCUGAAGUGUUUAUGUGAUCCCAGGCAAACACUCCACACAACCAGUUGUUUCACCCAGCUCAGGAAUGCAUCGCUCUUCCCACAGCCUGCUCUGGUGAUUUUGCCAUUACGACUCAAAAUCAGAUGGAGAUGGUAAGAAAGCAAAGUCAUCCCUUAAGCAUCUAAUAAGGAUUCGUCACCACUAUAACAUGCAGCAGUCAGCUAUCCCAAAAUGCAGUCUCCAAGAGUCUAAGGCAGUCUUCAGCUGUUUACAUAUCAAGACUGGAAAGUUUUGCACAGGUGUACAGACACAUGAAUGCCAUGACAAAGAGUUUAGAAACCUGAAUGUAAGAAGCAGAAAAAACAGGUUGUGGGAAAGAAAAAGCAUCUGAACUCAAAUAGAUUUGCACAAAUCAGAAUGCCUUCAUUUUACACUGGGAGGACCUGUUUUUUUUCCAGGCAUUAUCCAAGUGGGCUGAAUGCAUCAGUACCACAUUUAGAGGUGGAGCUGGAAACUGAGCAAGUGUGGCUGUGGGAAAAACAGGUGAAUGACUUCACAGCAUCAGUGGAAAUACUGUCUGCCAGAGGUGGCUGGAGAUCUCUAAUCCACACUGCAGCUCAAAGCAGGACUACUCCCAGAGCCGGAUGGGGACAGCUGAGGCUUUGUCCCAUUGUGUGUGAGCAUCCUCCUGGAGCUAGGGUGUCAUAAGCUCUCUAAAAGCCUUUUCCAUUCUGCACUGGCUGCUUGUGAGACCUCCGAGUGGCCAUUUGCUAUGGUCAGCACACCAGCUGGACAAGGGAAGGCUGUACGAGAUGCAGGCAAAUUGAUGAGGAGAAGGAAGCCUUCAGCUGCAGAAUUACAGACUCACAGAUUUGGAAUUGUUUGGGAUGGAAAAGACCUUUAACAUCAUCAAGCUCAGCCGUGAAACUAAUACUGUGAGGGCCACCACUAAGACACAUCCCUAAGUGGCACAUCUACAAAUCUGUUAAAUACCUCCAGAGAUGGUUAAAUACCAUUUCCCUGGGCAACCUUUUCCAAUGCUUAACAACUCUUGCAGUGAAAAAAAUUUUCCUAAUAUCCGGUCUAAACCUCCCCUGGCACAACCUGGGACUAUUUCCUCUUGUCCUGCCACCUGUUACUUGUGAGGAGAUAAUAACCCUCACAUGGCUUUCAGGUGGUUGUAGAGAGCAAUAAGAUCCUUCCUGAGCCUCCUUUUGUCCAGGCUAACCCUCCCAGCUCUCUCAGCAGCUCCUCACAAGACUUGUGGUUCAGACCUAUCACCACCUUCUUUGCCCAUGUCUGGAAGUGCUCCAGCUCCACAAUCACCUCAAUGUCUUCCUUGCAAUGAAGGCCCCCAGACUGAAAAGGAUUCAAGGUGCAGCUGCACCAGUGCCAAGUACUGGAGGGCAGUCACUGCCCUGCUCCUGCUGGCCACACUCUUUCUGCUGUAACUCCUCGCUGCCAGCCCCACCUGACCUGUGAUGUUACAGCUGUGAUUCAUUGUCCUUGCAGAUGUGCCUAGAGCUAAUUACUGCCUUCACCCUCCUCCUUAUCCUCAUGCAAGAACUGCCCAGCUCCACUCUCCUGGUGGUUGAGGGUGCAGCCCACAUCACUGACAUCUCCAGGCCUGCCAGGCAGCUGCACUUGACCUGCACAGUCUGGGUCUCAGAGUCAGGCUGGGUUUAAGAUGUAAAUGAUUAACAUUGUGAACACAGGGAAGUGAAAACUUCCGCUUAGAGAGAGGAGAAAGGCAUUAAACCAUUCUUACCUGGGAAAACACCUGCUCUGUGUAGCCCUAUACAAUAGCAGAGCUUGGUGUGGUCAAGCAGCAGCACAGGCUGGGGCUGCCAGUUCUUCCUGUGCCAAUGGAGGCAAAACCAUCAGCAGAGCAGGCUGCCCUUCUCCUGCCAGCAAGUGAGGCAGGACUUCAGCCUGGGAUUGAGCCCAUCUGCCAGAUCUGAUCACUCCAGUUUCUAGCCCAGCACAUCAAUAUAGGCUGCAUCGACCUCAUCUUACAUUAACACCAUGGGGUGCUGUGGAUGAAAACCCUGAUCCAGUUUCACUUAGCAGGUGUGCAGGGAGGCAGCAGCCAUGUCACCUGUGUUUGUCUGUACGAGACUUUCAGAUGGCUCUCCAGCACCUUUCCCAAAUCAGCUUUGUGGUUAGCAGAAUCCCUCCUAUGUAGAACCAUUGCAGAACAGUAGAUGCAGAACCAAGUGUUCCAAAGUAGAAAGCCCAUAUCUGAAACACCAAGGAGGUCCAGCCCAGAGAAAAGGCUCAUUAGCUCUCUCAGAUGAGUAGGUUUCUACCUUGGAAAAUGAAGCCAUUGAACAAAGCAGAAGUCAUAACAGCAACUGUGAAGUGAUAACAGUUUGCAGUUAGUGCUCAGCCAGUGGGAACUAAUUCACUCAUUCACAAAGCUACAAAGCUGCCGUCAGACGCAUUUGUUUGGUCGCUAUCAAAUGGAUUGUGAUUAGACCCACUGACAAAGGUGAAUGGUUUGAUAGUCAUUAUUUAAUCCUCUGCUAUCAAUUCAGCAAGAGAGCCACUAAAUCACACAGUCCAUUUUUGUGAGGUUAUCCUGAAUUUAUAGUCAAUGCCACAACAUUUGAAAACGCGUGUUGCUAGUUGUUACAGCACAGUCCAUGCCCGUGUGUGUACCUAACCUGAAUGGCCUCUCUGCCAAAGGUGUGUAUAAAAUUAUCGUGUAUGUACCUGUAUAUACACGUGUAUGGAAUUAAUAAAUAUGGGGGUAAACAGAAGAGUGUUGUUGGUGGAACACGAGCAUGUGAAUGCCUGGUUUACUCAGCACAGUUUCUGCGAGUCAUACACAUCUGUGCACAAGGAGCUGCUGCCUCCUGCUCCUCUUAUGUAACUUCAUAAAGACUCAUAACAUUGCCAUGGUAUCUGCAAAGAGAGGCUCAGCUAGUCAGUGGGUGCCCUGUUACCAGGUGAUACUUGUCAAGAGCUCAUCUUCCCAUUCAGGUGUGUGCUGAGAAUUAAAACACAAAUACUGACACACCUACAGAAUGUUAUCAGUAUCAUUCACUCAAUGUGCAGCACCUCAGUUUGAAAAGUCUGGAUAUUAGUUUGGCUUUGGCUUUUAGGGCAUACAUGAUCAUAUCUCUUGUGAACUGCUACACUCAUGUAUCUUCAUGUAAAGGAAGAAAAUUUUGGGGAGAGAUGAAGUAUGCUUUUGCUCCAGUAUUGGAGGAACCUAAGAAAACAUGCUGCAGUUGUAUCCUAAAGGUGGAAGAGACAAUCAAACAAACAAACAAACAAGCAAAGCAGUGUUUAUUGCUCUGAGACAUCUCUUCAUUUCUGAGCUGAUUUCAAUUAUUUUUGAACAGCUGCAGGCACAGGGAUGCUCUGCCUUUCCUGAACAGCCGAACAGAUGAUAUAUCAGUUUUAAAUCAGCUCCCAGCUGACAGGGAAAGGAUUGCAAUCUGCUAAAUAGUGUCGUUGCUGCAGACAAGUAGACGUCAUUUCUGAAGGAAAAAUAUUGGGAACGCUGCUGCUUCCUGAGCCAAAGGAGACAGGGCUGCAGCCGUGGGUCACAUCUGGGAGCACCGUGUCGUGUGUGCAGACCUAACCCACAACAGCAGCCGUGAGUGACAACUACAGCCACUGCCACCUCUCACCUCAUGCCUUUUAUGUGCUGUAAAAGCCACAGCUUCAUUCCUGCCCUGGUCCUCAAUUUCUGCCAGCGCUUCCUUCUCGGCAAGCUGGAGCAGUAGCACACAAUGCACAAUACAACACCUCUCGCCCUGCUUCUUCCCACAGAGCAGCCGCUGAGCGCUGGUCAGGAGCCAUCAGCACCCAGCUCGAACAAUGUAAAUUCUAUGGGAGCUCAUUGUUUUUGUAAAGAUCGCAUGCAAUCUGUUGCCAAGCAGCCUACACAAAUAUUUAAAGCCUGCCUCUUUCUUCACACAGUUUAAAAAAACCAAACCAAAACAAAAAUAACAAGAGCUUUUACUUUGUAAAGGCUGAGGUGGAAUUAACCUCUUCCUGCACAAGUACCAGGCACCGGCAUGAUGAAAUUAUUGACAUGUCCAUGCAUUCCAUGGGGAUGAUGCUGGAGAGGACUUGACUUGGAGGCUGGCUUUGUAUUUAUAUAUGUAUUGUUAUAUAUUUUGCCAGUACAAGAUAGGUCUUUCCAAUUCCCUCUUUUCUUGAGAGGUAACAUUUUUCUGGCUAACCCUAAUAUAACUACCCAAUUUCUAAGGAUCACCUCCUCAUCCCAAAUAUCUCCAGGGUCCAGGCCCACCUAGGAAGAAUAGUUACAUUUGAUCAUGUUUUCUCUCUCCAUUCCUGUUGUCAUUCAUAUCUAAGCACAUGCUCAGCUGCUUUGCUGAAAUCGUCAGACAGGAACAAAGUCCAUUCUGUAAAAUGCUAUAGGAGUGCCAGCUCUAGAUUUCUGUGUAGAACCUUGGAAGUAGACACAUACUUAAAAAUACUUGUUAUUAGUUUUACUCCUAUCACACUUCAGUCUCACCAGAAUGAGUUAUCAGGCUGGGUUUUCCUGGCUCUGGGAACAGUGUCCAGGCACGGAGCUGUCUAGUCAGGCAAGAAUUAUCACUGGUAUCACACUGGAUUGGCUUCAUGAAAAAACAGACCGAGUACAAAUGUAAGCAAUGGCUCGAAUCCCAGCAGCACUUUUCCAUAGGAACAGGCCUUCAUACAGUAUGUACCCUUGUGUGUGCAACUGCAAUACUCAGAAGGAGCCAUUUCCCAGCCAAAUGAAGCCUUUAUCAGUGGCUCCAGGGUCUGAUUGCCAAGGAGACAUCUAUGAUCUGUGAGGA
This is a long non-coding RNA of Passer domesticus (house sparrow), 5273 nucleotides long. RefSeq lists it as uncharacterized. The transcript has 5 exons. Lineage: Eukaryota; Metazoa; Chordata; Aves; Passeriformes; Passeridae. The record is from RefSeq and is a predicted model, not a curated record.